AAGAUGCUAUUGAGUGGACUUGGACGA
RNAcentral lists this non-coding RNA (27 nucleotides) under Bombyx mori (domestic silkworm). The record is from RNAcentral. Lineage: Eukaryota; Metazoa; Arthropoda; Insecta; Lepidoptera; Bombycidae.